Molecule: ribosomal RNA, 377 nt
Filed under: uncultured Caldilineae bacterium
Lineage: Bacteria; Bacillati; Chloroflexota; Caldilineae
Description: bacterial SSU rRNA
Rfam family: Bacterial small subunit ribosomal RNA
Source: RNAcentral
UAAUACGUAGGUGGCGAGCGUUAUCCGGAUUUACUGGGCGUAAAGCGCGUGCAGGCGGUUUCGUAAGUCGGACGUGAAAGCUCCUGGCUUAACUGGGAGAGGCCGUUCGAUACUGCGGAACUUGAGGUCGGGAGAGGGACGUGGAAUUCCCGGUGUAGUGGUGGAAUGCGUAGAUAUCGGGAGGAACACCAGUGGCGAAGGCGGCGUCCUGGCCCGCACCUGACGCUAAGACGCGAAAGCGUGGGUAGCGAGCGGGAUUAGAUACCCCGGUAGUCCACGCUGUAAACGGUGUUCACUAGGUGUAGGAAGUAUCGACCCUUUCUGUGCCACAGAUAAUUCGUUAAGUGAACCGCCUGGGAAGUACGACCGCAAGGUUA